This 395-nucleotide ribosomal RNA is filed under the name uncultured bacterium. Its description in RNAcentral is "partial 16S ribosomal RNA". It matches the Rfam family "Bacterial small subunit ribosomal RNA", at positions 523 to 918 of the family's 1533-position model. The record is from RNAcentral.
AUACGUAGGGUGCAAGCGUUAAUCGGAAUUACUGGGCGUAAAGCGUGCGCAGGCGGUUUUGUAAGACAGAGGUGAAAUCCCCGGGCUCAACCUGGGAACUGCCUUUGUGACUGCAAGGCUAGAGUACGGCAGAGGGGGGUGGAAUUCCGCGUGUAGCAGUGAAAUGCGUAGAUAUGCGGAGGAACACCGAUGGCGAAGGCAAUCCCCUGGGCCGAUACUGACGCUCAUGCACGAAAGCGUGGGGAGCAAACAGGAUUAGAUACCCUGGUAGUCCACGCCCUAAACGAUGGCAACUGGUUGUUGGGUCUUCAUUGACUCAGUACCGAAGCUGACGCGUGAAGUGGACCGCCUGGGGAGUACGGCCGCAAGGUUGAAACUUAAAGGAAUUGACGGGG